GACGAACGCUGGCGGCGUGCUUAACACAUGCAAGUCGAACGGUAAGGCCUUUCGGGGUACACGAGUGGCGAACGGGUGAGUAACACGUGGGUGAUCUGCCCUGCACUUCGGGAUAAGCCCGGGAAACUGGGUCUAAUACCGGAUAGGACUGCGCGGUGCAUGCCGUGUGGUGGAAAGAUUUAUCGGUGCAGGAUGGGCCCGCGGCCUAUCAGCUUGUUGGUGGGGUAAUGGCCUACCAAGGCGACGACGGGUAGCCGGCCUGAGAGGGCGACCGGCCACACGGGGACUGAGACAGGGCCCAGCCCCCUGCGGGGGGAGCAGGGGGGGAAUAUGGCCAAAGGGGCGCAGGCUGGAUGCAGCGGCGCGGGGGGGGGAAUGCCGGCUUUCGGUUUGAAACCUUCUUCCAGCGGGGACGAAGGGGGAGGGAGGGGCCCUGAAAAAGAAGACCCGGCAAACUAGGUG
RNAcentral lists this ribosomal RNA (462 nucleotides) under uncultured bacterium. Its description in RNAcentral is "partial 16S ribosomal RNA". It matches the Rfam family "Bacterial small subunit ribosomal RNA", at positions 28 to 507 of the family's 1533-position model. The record is from RNAcentral.